GGGAAGCCUUGUUAAUAUUUAUAGAAUAGAGGAAAUCUUUCCAUGGGGUGAUAUGUGUGUUUGUGUUUCAGUAGGAGAAGGGGUUAAUUGGUUAUCAGUUAUAAGAUAAGAUACUACUUUAUUCAUCCUCCAAGAGGGGAAAUGUACAGUUAACUUCUGGUCGCCCCUGUUAGCUGGCUCCUGCUUAUGAGGUGUGUAUGUGUGUAUCUGCCUAUCUGUGUGUGCGGAUGGGGUAGGAUAGUUAAUAAUCAGAGGAAGUAUUUCAAUUGGGUGAUGUGUGUGUUUUUGAUGGGGGGAGGGGCUAGUAAGUUACUAGUUGAGACCCAGCUCCUGGUAGUGAAGGUAGCAGGCUGGUACUCCUUGUAGUGAAGGUAUCAGGCUGGUACUCCUGGUAGUGAAGGUAUCAGGCUGGUACUCCUGGUAGUGAAGGUAUCAGGAUGGUACUCCUUGUAGUGAAGGUAUCAGGCUGGUACUCCUGGUAGUGAAGGUAUCAGGCUGGUACUCCUGGUAGUGAAGGUAGCAGGAUGGUACUCCUGGUAGUGAAGGUAUCAGGCUGGUACUCCUGGUAGUGAAAGUAGCAGGCUGGUACUCCUGGUAGUGAAGGUAUCAGGCUGGUACUCCUGGUAGUGAAGGUAGCAGGAUGGUACUCCUUGUAGUGAAGAUAUCAGGCUGGUACUCCUUGUAGUGAAGGUAUCAGGCUGGUACUCCUGGUAGUGAAGGUAGCAGGAUGGUACUCCUUGUAGUGAAGGUAUCAGGCUGGUACUCCUGGUAGUGAAGGUAUCAGGCUGGUACUCCUGGUAGUGAAGGUAUCAGGCUGGUACUCCUGGUAGUGAAGGUAUCAGGCUGGUACUCCUGGUAGUGAAGGUAGCAGGCUGGUACUCCUGUAAUGCUGAAAUGGCUGCUGCAUGACAUAUUUCAGAAAGCCCACAAUGACUCAACAUAUGCACACACGUGCAUGCACGCACGCACACACACACACACACAAACACACGCACACCCUCAGGGACCGGCACAAAGGGACAAGUGUGUGUUAGUUUUCUUUAUAAUCGUUUUGGUACCAUUUUCCCGAGUAUGUGGUGAAUUUGCACAAAACUCCAAACUGGUAAUACUUGUAACGCAGCCAGUCUUAAAUAAAAAAUUGUUCCUUGAUUUUGUUUGUAGACAUCUUUCACCACGCAACCAUUGAUCCAAAAUACACUGAGUGUACAAAACAUUAAAAACACGUUCCUAAUAUUGAGUUGCAGCCCCUUUAGCCCACAGAACAGCCUCAAAUCGUCAGGCAUGGACUCUACAAGGUGUUGAAAGCUUUCCACAGGGAUACUGGCACAUGUUGACUCCAAUGCUUCCCACAGUUGUGCGAAGUUGGCUGGAUGUCCAUUGGAUGGUGAACCAUUCUUGAUACACACAGGAAACUGUUGAGCGUGAAAAACCCAGCAGUAUUAGUUUCUAACUGGUGCGCCUGGCACCUACUAGCAUACCCCAUGAAAAGGCACUUCAAUCUUUUUGCCUUGCCCAUUCACCCUCUGAAUGGUACACACACACACACAAUACAUGUCUCAAGCCUUAAAAAUCCUUCUUUAACCUGUCUCCUCCCCUUCAUCUACACUGAUUGAAGUGGAUAAGUGACAUCAAUAAGGGAUCAUAGCUUUCACCUGGAUUCACCUGCUCAGUCUAUGUCAUGGAAAGAACAGGUGUUCAUAAUGUUUAGUACACUCAGGGUAUACAUUUACUGUGAGAUAUAAUGAGUACAUUGGUUUAAUCACCAAAACACAACAUAAUGAGUUUGUGAUUUUAGUAAAUCAGUGUGAACACCCCCCCCC
This 1820-nucleotide long non-coding RNA is filed under the name Salmo salar (Atlantic salmon). Its description in RNAcentral is "lncRNA (ENSSSAG00000102077.1, ENSSSAG00000117924.1)". The record is from RNAcentral. Lineage: Eukaryota; Metazoa; Chordata; Actinopteri; Salmoniformes; Salmonidae.